GACUGGGGCGGUCGCCUCCUAAAAAGUAACGGAGGCGCGCAAAGGUAAGUUCAAAUUAUAACAAUUUGUAAUUGUAGAGCGUAAUAGUAUAUGCUUGCUUGACUGUAAGAUUGACAAAUCAAACAGGGACGAAAGUCGGUUAUAGUGAUCCAGUAAUUUUGAAUGGAAAAGUUAUUGCUUAACGGAUAAAAGGUACGCCGGGGAUAACAGGCUAAUCACUCCCUAGAGACCAUAUCGACGGGGUGGUUUGGCACCUCGAUGUUGGAUUAUCACAUCCUGGAGCUGUAAGUGGUUCCAAGGGUUUAGCUGUUCGCUAAUGAAGGUGGUACAUGAUCUGAGUUCAGAACGUCGUGAGACAGUUUGGUCCCUAUCUUCCGCAAACGUAAAAAACUGAAAGGUUUAAACUUUAGUACGAGAGGACCGAGAAAAGUAAAUCUAUGGUGUUUCGGUUGUUAUACUUUAUAGCAUCGCCGAGUAGCUACAUUUAUAAUAGAUAAUUACUAAUCAUUAUACUAGUAUGAAUCUAACCUUAAGAUAAGUUUUUUAGAAAUCGUAACAGAUUAUUACGUAAUCUUUUCAUAAUAGACUUUAUGUAUAAAAAUUGUAAGAUUUUAAGCUUAAAAGCACUAAAUU
This 633-nucleotide ribosomal RNA is filed under the name Corethron hystrix. Its description in RNAcentral is "partial Bacterial large subunit ribosomal RNA". It matches the Rfam family "Bacterial large subunit ribosomal RNA", at positions 2272 to 2911 of the family's 2925-position model. Lineage: Eukaryota; Bacillariophyta; Corethrophyceae; Corethrales; Corethraceae. The record is from RNAcentral.